GAGAACCUUACCUGGCCUUGAAUGUCCGGACUUUGCAGAGAUGGAGAGUCCUUCGGGAAUCGGAACACAGGUGCUGAUGGUGUCGUUAGCUCGUGUCGUGAGAUGUUGGGUUAAGUCCCGUAACGAGCGCAACCCUUGUCCUUAGUUACCAGCACGUUAAGGUGGCACUCUAAGGAGACUGCCGGUGACAAACCGGAGAAGGAGGGGAUGACGUCAAGUCAUAUGGGCCCUUACGGCCAGGGCUACACACGUACUACAAUGGUCGGGACAGAGCGUUGCCAACCCGCGGAGAGGGAGCAAUCCCAUAAAACCGAUCGCAGGCCCGAAUGCAGUCUGCAACUCGACUUGCGUGAAGUCGGAAUCGCUAGUAAUCCCGAAUUAAGAAGGCACCGGGAAUACGUUCCCGGCCUUGUACACACCGCCCGCACACCAUGGGAGUUGGUUGCUCCAGAAGGAGCUAGCCUAACCGAGGGGGGACGGUUUCCACGGAUUGUUCAUGAUUAGGGUGAAGUCGUAACAAGGUAAC
This 526-nucleotide ribosomal RNA is filed under the name Pseudomonas sp. HA-OP5. RNAcentral's name for it is "bacterial SSU rRNA". It matches the Rfam family "Bacterial small subunit ribosomal RNA", at positions 964 to 1500 of the family's 1533-position model. The record is from RNAcentral. Lineage: Bacteria; Pseudomonadati; Pseudomonadota; Gammaproteobacteria; Pseudomonadales; Pseudomonadaceae.